UUUCUCUAACAUUCUGUUAAGAUAUGUCCUGAUCUCCUAAAGCCACAGAAUCCCAGAGACUCAAAGUAAAUUUUCUCUUCGGCAAAUCAGAAGGCUCUGCAUAAAUACUGCCAAUUGUUAAACAUUUACCUGCACAUACUGGGCUCAUCUUCAUUAUUGGUAAAAUGAGCUAGAUGCUAUUUUCCAUUAGCUCACACUCCAAUUCCAAUCGACCUGACCAUCAGAAGAGACAAAAAGGGAAAAUCCUGGCCAGUUCUCCCCUACCUGAUCAACCAGUAGCAUAAUCAGAUUUGCAAGACCUCAAGAAAAGAAACCUGAAAAUGCCACUGGAGGUGUGUGUUUUGCCAAAGAAAAAAGAAUCAAAAACAAAACCUGCAGGAUGAGGACAAACAAACAAAGAGCAGGGACAGAGUCUCACUAUGUUGACACCCUGGACAACACUCUUGAAGUACUCUUUUCCCAGGGAGGACACAGUCAUGGCAUGCAAGGGGCUCAGCCAUGAACCUUGUGAUGGAUGAGGAAAAGAUAUUCUUUUUCUCCCCUUACAGUUUCUGGCAGCCAACAUGGGGUGGCUGUGACACCCCACUAGUUCCAGAACCUGCAGAUGAGAUCCUGGGACAACCAA
Homo sapiens (human) is the source of this 625-nucleotide long non-coding RNA. NCBI's taxonomy places the organism in Eukaryota, Metazoa, Chordata, Mammalia, Primates, Hominidae. The record is from Ensembl.